This 505-nucleotide ribosomal RNA is filed under the name uncultured bacterium. RNAcentral's name for it is "partial 16S ribosomal RNA". It matches the Rfam family "Bacterial small subunit ribosomal RNA", at positions 28 to 507 of the family's 1533-position model. The record is from RNAcentral.
GACGAACGCUGGCGGCGUGCCUAAUACAUGCAAGUAGAACGCACAGUUUAUACCGUAGCUUGCUACACCAUAAACUGUGAGUUGCGAACGGGUGAGUAACGCGUAGGUAACCUGCCUGGUAGCGGGGGAUAACUAUUGGAAACGAUAGCUAAUACCGCAUAAUAUUAAUUAUUGCAUGAUAAUUGAUUGAAAGAUGCAAUUGCAUCACUACCAGAUGGACCUGCGUUGUAUUAGCUAGUAGGUGAGGUAACGGCUCACCUAGGCGACGAUACAUAGCCGACCUGAGAGGGUGAUCGGCCACACUGGGGCUGAGACACGGCCCAGACUCCUACGGGAGGCAGCAGUAGGGAAUCUUCGGCAAUGGACGAAAGUCUGACCGAGCAACGCCGCGUGAGUGAAGAAGGUUUUCGGAUCGUAAAGCUCUGUUGUAAGAGAAGAACGGGUGUGAGAGUGGAAAGUUCACACUGUGACGGUAUCUUACCAGAAAGGGACGGCUAACUACGUG